UGGAGGCACUACUGUAAGUCACUUUAGAUAAAAGUGUCUGCUAAAUGACACUUC
Non-coding RNA from Salmo salar (Atlantic salmon), 54 nucleotides. Lineage: Eukaryota; Metazoa; Chordata; Actinopteri; Salmoniformes; Salmonidae. The record is from Rfam.